UACGUAGGGGGCGAGCGUUGUCCGGAUUUACUGGGCGUAAAGAGCUCGUAGGCGGUUUGAUAAGUCGGGUGUGAAACCUCCAGGCUUAACCUGGAGUCGCCACUUGAUACUGUCAUGACUAGAAUCCGGUAGGGGACCAUGGAAUUCCUGGUGUAGCGGUGAAAUGCGCAGAUAUCAGGAGGAACACCAGUAGCGAAGGCGGUGGUCUGGGCCGGUAUUGACGCUGAGGAGCGAAAGCGUGGGGAGCGAACAGG
RNAcentral lists this ribosomal RNA (254 nucleotides) under uncultured bacterium. RNAcentral describes it as "partial 16S ribosomal RNA". It matches the Rfam family "Bacterial small subunit ribosomal RNA", at positions 524 to 776 of the family's 1533-position model. The record is from RNAcentral.